Long non-coding RNA from Spodoptera frugiperda (fall armyworm), 3862 nucleotides. RefSeq lists it as uncharacterized. Lineage: Eukaryota; Metazoa; Arthropoda; Insecta; Lepidoptera; Noctuidae. The transcript has 2 exons. The record is from RefSeq and is a predicted model, not a curated record.
CACGCUUACAGUCAGUUGCAGAAAACUGUCUUUAAAAUCGACAUUAGUUAAUCCGUCAUUAUCGCUAAUAUUCCAUUAAAUUUAAAGACGUUGCACAAAACUGUUGCGGGUCCCUUUAAUGGGACUUUAACUAAAGACGACAUUAAAAAGUGUUGCAAGUUAAAACACAUAUUUUGAAUGAACUGAUUACGUAGUAUUUGUAUACUCUGUGGAACUGAUUGAAUGUAAAUUGUCAUUAAGGAUGGAAGGAUGUGAAUCCCGCUUCGAAAGAAACCGAUUUUUUAAAAUAACGAUUUAUCGAUCGUGACUCGAUUUAUUUCAUGUAGUUAAAGGACAAUAUAAAAAUCAAUACAAUACCAUUUGUUACUACUUAGUUACUUGUAAACUAAGACUUAGUUAUGAGUUUUUCCAGAGCUAAUCACAUUUUUUACGUAAUACCUAUAUCUAUAUUUUGUAUUUGAUUAAAUAUCUCUAUAUUUAAUAGAUUAGGUAUAUGUGUUAUUUUAAUUAGCUACUAUUAAAUGUAUUUUGUAGUGUCUUAAUAGUGGAAUACAUAUAAAUAUCUAAUUUUCUUCUAAUUCCCUGAACCGAUUCAAUUAUGUGUUCCGAUUUAAAAUAGGUAUCAACCUUUUUGGUUCGCGGGAAUAAAAUUCUAGAUGACCAUUGACCAGCCCUAGUUGUCAAUAUUGUCAUCAUGAGCGUUUCUGUCAUCUCUGUAUUUAGGAAAAAUCCUAAUUUUUUACGAUAAAAAUAUUAUCAAUUGCUUUAAUGUGGUGUUGAAUUAUCUUUCAUUGGUAUCGUAACACCUUUUGUAAGAGAGAAGAUUUAAUGUAGCUUCCAGGUGUUUGUUAUUGUUGUGAUUAAUUGAGAAUUGGACUCGUCUUGAGUUUUCCUUUUGUAGAAAGAAUUUUCAGUGUUAUUCAUUAACCAUGGUAUCUGAUGCAACACAGGCUGGUUCAGGCAGUAUGCAUCGCCCUUUUACUAACUUUUUAAGCAAAGAAUUAACCAAAGAAUGGUAUAAUAUUGCACCCACAGAGGAAGUACGAAUUACCCCCAUGUGACGGUGGCUUGGUAUUUUAGUAAAAUAAAUAUAUAAUAAAAUAAAUUAAUUUAAAACAAGAUAAAUCGUUUUAUUUAUUCUUAAAAAUAACUACUUAAUAGUUAACACUUCUUUAGCAUUUACCCAGUCUCUAUAAAGAACAAGGUAUAUACAUCUAUUAAUACACCGAUUCUAUAAUAAUUCCCCGAGCAUGAUAUGGAAAUACCUAAGGAAGGCCAAUGUUUGGCAGGAAGCUGAUCUUCGGUAGAUCCCGUAGCGAAGAAUCACAAACAUCUAUAUGACGAAAAUUGCGCGGACGUAGGAGCAUAAAAUUUGGUACACUUAUAGUUUAUGUGUAGGAGAAGUGCAGAACGCUAAUAUUUUUCAUAAAUAAUGCUUAUAAAGUACAUUCAUAAUCAAUAAAUAAAUAAAUCAAUAAAUAAAACAUUACACACACUACCAUGCAUAGUAGGGGAAGGUAGGGUAAUUGAGAACGGCGGGUAAUUGGGAACACGUUGAUAAGUCCCACUUCCCCUCCCCGUAUCCCGUCUCGCGGCUAUUCGAGGUAUGCUUCCCCCGCCCCUAAGUGCGCAAGCGACAGUGGGAACUGGAGGAUGCACGCAUCUUGACACGAUGAGGCGAGACGUUGAUGCAGCCAGACUGAACCAGACACCACCAGUUCAAUUAUCAGAUUCACAUGACCACGAUAAAGCUUUGGGCACAUGUGCAAUGCACUUCCAGAGAGACCAGCAAAAGUUACGUGUGUGAUAUUAUGUGUCAUGAAAUGAAAAAAUAUUUUUUCCGUUAUAAGCAGACAGAUAAAUAAUGUUUUUAAGUAAUAAAAGUUGAUUCCUUUUUUAAGAGAAAAUACUGUUUUUUGCCUUUUAAGUUAAGUGUUCCUAAUUCCCCCACCUUCCCCUAUCGUAUUUGACAAAACGUCAAAUUGACAGACAUUGCGAUGAUAUUAAAAGAAGAAGAAAUGAAAAGAGGUUUCUCAUUGAAGGAGGUUAUUAUAAUGAAGAGGUUUGGUUAUUCAUGAUGCGCCGGAAUAUAUUAAUUUGAAUUUUACUAAACGAAUAGCAAUUCGUUAAAUAAAAAUUAUCCUUGAACGUAUGUUAAGUGGUAUUGUAAAUUAAAUCGUAUAUGGUCGAAUUUCGACCACUAGGCGGCCACUAGUGUCAAUAACUAUGUGAGGCCAUCAAUAGCUUUAUUUCUUCGAGUUUCAGUUUCUAAAUUGAGUAUCUCGCAAAUGCGUAAAGCUUUAGAAAUCCUGUAUCUCACACGAAACUCUUCUCCGUCAUGUUUUUCAAAUAAAUUUAUCCUAUCUGGUACACGACGUCGUCGUGGAAGGAGCGAAUAAAGAUGGUAGGCUUGAAAGGGACAUUAUAAACAAUACUGUAAUAAAGUAAAAAAAUAUUACUAGCACUAUUUACAAAAGAAUUGAGAGUUUAAUAACAAGUUUAAUGGAUGUUUGACUAGGCAUUAAAAAUUAUAGCCCCAAACUGUCAAUUUAAUGCUCCUUUAGCGCUAAUGACGUUUUGUGCAACGUAAAAAAUAGGCUAAAGUCCCGAUUUGACGUUUCUUUAAUUAAUGUUAAUCCGGCAUUAAAAUGAGAUAGAAAUACUUCUUUAUGCAACACUUUAAAGCUUCAUUAAUAUUUAAAGUCACUUUAAAAAUUUAAUGAUCGUUCCUGCAACUGACUGUUACAGUCAGUUGCAGAAAACUGUCUUUAAAAUCGACAUUAGUUAAUCCGUCAUUAUCGCUAAUAUUCCAUUAAAUUUAAAGACGUUGCACAAAACUGUUGCGGGUCCCUUUAAUGGGACUUUAACUAAAGACGACAUUAAAAAGUGUUGCAAGUUAAAACACAUAUUUUGAAUGAACUGAUUACGUAGUAUUUGUAUACUCUGUGGAACUGAUUGAAUGUAAAUUGUCAUUAAGGAUGGAAGGAUGUGAAUCCCGCUUCGAAAGAAACCGAUUUUUUAAAAUAACGAUUUAUCGAUCGUGACUCGAUUUAUUUCAUGUAGUUAAAGGACAAUAUAAAAAUCAAUACAAUACCAUUUGUUACUACUUAGUUACUUGUAAACUAAGACUUAGUUAUGAGUUUUUCCAGAGCUAAUCACAUUUUUUACGUAAUACCUAUAUCUAUAUUUUGUAUUUGAUUAAAUAUCUCUAUAUUUAAUAGAUUAGGUAUAUGUGUUAUUUUAAUUAGCUACUAUUAAAUGUAUUUUGUAGUGUCUUAAUAGUGGAAUACAUAUAAAUAUCUAAUUUUCUUCUAAUUCCCUGAACCGAUUCAAUUAUGUGUUCCGAUUUAAAAUAGGUAUCAACCUUUUUGGUUCGCGGGAAUAAAAUUCUAGAUGACCAUUGACCAGCCCUAGUUGUCAAUAUUGUCAUCAUGAGCGUUUCUGUCAUCUCUGUAUUUAGGAAAAAUCCUAAUUUUUUACGAUAAAAAUAUUAUCAAUUGCUUUAAUGUGGUGUUGAAUUAUCUUUCAUUGGUAUCGUAACACCUUUUGUAAGAGAGAAGAUUUAAUGUAGCUUCCAGGUGUUUGUUAUUGUUGUGAUUAAUUGAGAAUUGGACUCGUCUUGAGUUUUCCUUUUGUAGAAAGAAUUUUCAGUGUUAUUCAUUAACCAUGGUAUCUGAUGCAACACAGGCUGGUUCAGGCAGUAUGCAUCGCCCUUUUACUAACUUUUUAAGCAAAGAAUUAACCAAAGAAUGGUAUAAUAUUGCACCCACAGAGGAAGUACGAAUUACCCCCAUGUGACGGUGGCUUGGUAUUUUAGUAAAAUAAAUAUAUAAUAAAAUAAAUUAAUUUAAAACAAGAUAAA